Molecule: long non-coding RNA, 978 nt
Organism: Dendrobium catenatum
Lineage: Eukaryota; Viridiplantae; Streptophyta; Magnoliopsida; Asparagales; Orchidaceae
Exons: 2
Source: RefSeq, a predicted model, not a curated record
AUUUGUCUAUGCUUUUCGAUAGCCUUUGGUAGUUUGGCCUGUCUAGGAUUUUGCUAUUCAUAGUCGCCCGUUCUUCGCUGUUGCUGCGUGGUUUCGCGUUGUUUAACUAGUGUUUUGAAAGUCCCGAAGCUUCUUCGCCUUCUGCGGCGAUGUGGGAUGAGAAGUGUCUGCCGGAGGCAACGAUCUUUCUCUUUUGGCACGCUUAUUCUCCUAAAUCCCGUUAGGGACAACGGAGAAGGAACGGGAUUUGUAGGAUAUACGGGAUGUUUGGGUGCAUGAUUUAUACCGGAUUUGAGGCGGAUUUGAGCGAACUCCAGCCAAACGGCCUAAGAUGCAAAACCAAAUCGCACAGUCUCUUAAGCUUGUGUCUGAAACCCUCGUCUUUCUCCACCAAAUCGAAAUUCUAGAAACCCUAGACGAUCGAGAAGCGUGAAAGUUGCGAAACCUGGCUGAAGAAGCAUCGACGUGACCUGCGACUUGUGAAAUCCGUCCAAUGACCGGCUAUAUAUCAUCGGGGGUUUCAGAUAGAAUGGGGGAGAAGCGGAUUUUAAGAUUCUGUUGGUCUUAAGGAUCUCAUUUUUGCUGUUUGUCAGGAUUUAGGUUAAUCCUUCUCAGAAACUGCUACCGAACAGCUCGUUUAUGGCUUUGCAGUAGUAAGAUAUGGAGGAAUUAGGAGACUCUGUUCUUGCUUCUUGGUGGAAGAUUGUUUGUGUUAAUUUUACUGCUCAAAGCCUCUCCUCUCACUUUUGAUACGCAUACAUUUGCAUGCAUUAAUCAGUUUGCAAGAUUGGGUUCUAAAUUAUUUUGUAAAUCUGCUGUAAAGAAAGUAAUUAUUUAAAGCUGUUGUUGAGAGUAGUUUUCUAGUACAAAUAUUUAUUUAUGAGGUAGCGUGCAUUGAUAGAUAUUAUGAUAGAUAUGAAUACAAUAUUUAAGCCUCAACUAUAUAGUUGAAAAUUCAUAUUUUAUUUUGUUUUUUGA